CCAGUUCGGAUUGCAGGCUGCAACCCGCCUGUAUGAAGUUGGAAUCGCUAGUAAUCGCGGAUCAGCAUGCCGCGGUGAAUACGUUCCCGGGCCUUGUACACACCGCCCGUCACACCAUGAGAGUCGGGAACACCCGAAGUCCGUAGUCUAACCGCAAGGGGGACGCGGCCGAAGGUGGGUUCGAUAAUUGGGGUGAAGUCGUAACAAGGUACC
This 213-nucleotide ribosomal RNA is filed under the name uncultured bacterium. RNAcentral's name for it is "partial 16S ribosomal RNA". It matches the Rfam family "Bacterial small subunit ribosomal RNA", at positions 1288 to 1500 of the family's 1533-position model. The record is from RNAcentral.